Molecule: transfer RNA, 63 nt
Filed under: human gut metagenome
Rfam family: tRNA
About the family: Transfer RNA (tRNA) molecules are approximately 80 nucleotides in length.
Source: RNAcentral
CUUAGCUCAGUUGGUAGAGCAACGGAUCGAUAAUCCGGAGAUCGCAGGUUCAAAUCCUGCAGA